AAAGUCGUAACAAGGUUUCCGUAGGUGAACCUGCGGAAGGAUCAUUAUUGAAUAGCGGUGUCUUUUGACCCACCCUUCAUUAUCCUUCUAAUACCUGUGAACUGUCUAGGAGCUGUUAUGUUGUUUGACGUUGUCAACGGCACAGCAGUUUCCAAACUAUCAAUAAAAACAACGUAUAAAGCAUGUAUAACAUUAAAUCAAUCCAACUUUGUUUUUUGUGUAAGGGCUUUGCCUGGUCAUAACUAACAUAUUGGGACGAUAAUUAAUCAUAAUACAACUUUUAGCAACGGAUCUCUUGGCUCUC
RNAcentral lists this unclassified non-coding RNA (304 nucleotides) under Basidiomycota sp. Its description in RNAcentral is "partial contains small subunit ribosomal RNA, internal transcribed spacer 1, and 5.8S ribosomal RNA". The stretch from base 1 to 47 matches the Rfam family "Eukaryotic small subunit ribosomal RNA", at positions 1785 to 1831 of the family's 1831-position model. Lineage: Eukaryota; Fungi; Basidiomycota. The record is from RNAcentral.